AGCUCCAAUAGCGUAUAUUAAAGUUGUUGCCGUUAAAAAGCUCGUAGUCGAACUUCGGCCUUUGCCGCCCGGUCCGCCUAUUUGGGCGUGUACUGGAGCGGUGGAGGCUUACCUCGUGGUGAACGGCCAUGCUCUUUACUGGGUGUGGUCGAGAACCAUGACUUUUACUUUGAAAAAAUUAGAGUGUUCAAAGCAGGCUUACGCCCGAAUACAUUAGCAUGGAAUAAUAAAAUAGGACGUGCGGUUCUAUUUUGUUGGUUUCUAGGAUCGCCGUAAUGAUUAAUAGGGAUAGUUGGGGGCAUUCGUAUUCAAUUGCUAGAGGUGAAAUUCUUGGAUUUAUUGAAGACGAACUACUGCGAAAGCAUUUGCCAAGGAUGUUUUCA
This 383-nucleotide ribosomal RNA is filed under the name uncultured fungus. RNAcentral's name for it is "SSU rRNA". It matches the Rfam family "Eukaryotic small subunit ribosomal RNA", at positions 587 to 972 of the family's 1831-position model. Lineage: Eukaryota; Fungi. The record is from RNAcentral.